GCGGCGGUAGUUCAGUGGUAGAACAUCUCCUUGCCAAGGAGAGGGUCGAGGGUUCGAGUCCCUUCCGCCGCUCCA
This 75-nucleotide transfer RNA is filed under the name Patescibacteria group bacterium. RNAcentral's name for it is "tRNA-Gly". It matches the Rfam family "tRNA". Rfam says of the family: Transfer RNA (tRNA) molecules are approximately 80 nucleotides in length. Their secondary structure includes four short double-helical elements and three loops (D, anti-codon, and T loops). Further hydrogen bonds mediate the characteristic L-shaped molecular structure. tRNAs have two regions of fundamental functional importance: the anti-codon, which is responsible for specific mRNA codon recognition, and the 3' end, to which the tRNAs corresponding amino acid is attached (by aminoacyl-tRNA synthetases). tRNAs cope with the degeneracy of the genetic code in two manners: having more than one tRNA (with a specific anti-codon) for a particular amino acid; and 'wobble' base-pairing, i.e. permitting non-standard base-pairing at the 3rd anti-codon position. The record is from RNAcentral.